Molecule: long non-coding RNA, 979 nt
Organism: Daucus carota subsp. sativus
Lineage: Eukaryota; Viridiplantae; Streptophyta; Magnoliopsida; Apiales; Apiaceae
Exons: 3
Source: RefSeq, a predicted model, not a curated record
UACUUGAUAAUGUUAAUAAAUAUUUUUAGGAGUUUUUAGAAUAUUGAAAAUAUCAUUUUCAUAUAAGCAUUAUUUUUAAAUAAUCGCAGUCAACUUCUAAAUUGCGUAUAAAAUUCAAACCCGAUCUAUAAAUCUCGAAAGUUUUAUUUCAUUAGUUUUAUAAUAUUCGGAGAUUUAUAAAAUUAGUUUAGUGAUUUUUCGAGAAAGUUUUAUUGCGAGAUAUUUCGAGAGUCGGUCUAAUUUCGGGUAUUAUAUCGAGGCUAGUCAGUGUGUUGAGAUACGUGGAAUACCUAUGCAGAGCCACGUAUCCCUACUCUACCCACCGCCUUAUUCUUUAUUUCUUCCCCUGUUUUUCUUUUCUUUUCUUCACUCCAUCAGCACCUGUCUUUCUCAAUCUCUCGGCCUCACCCCUCUCUCUCGCCUUAAUCCCUAACUUCUCUUUCCCUCUUUCAUUUUUUUUUUCUUCUUCUUUUCUUCAACCAUCCAAGUCACGUCUCUACUCUUUUUCCUUCCCCAUCGAGAUAUACUCCCAAGUACUGGUCAUUGAUUUUCCCGGCCAAUCCACAUCGCCGCCUGUUUCUUCUUUUUCCGGCGACAUCCUAGGCCUCCACUAGUUGUAAGUCAGGGGGCUCCAAUCAGAAGUCUUAGCAACCUAGAGCCUUCGUAUCACUAGUUACAUUUUGUCAAGAUGUCAAGGAAAAAUAGCAGCUGCGUGUAAGAGUUCCUAGGCACCGUCUUUUGAGUUGGGAACUUCUAGAGAGAAUGCGAGGAGCUUUGGACCCGAGUUUGUUUGGUUAUCUUUUGAGUCUGUAUUGUAGAUGUACCCGUAAGGCUGUAGUGGAAUCUCUUAUAGAGAUGAACCAAUAUCGUUGUCUUGGUUGUAAUAGAUGUUAAACCUUUUUCUGACUUAAACCUGGCAAGAUCUUUGGUCAGGGGUGGAAUUUGUAAAUUAUUAUUAAGUUUCUCUUUUCAGCAUUCA